UUUUCAAUAUUAAAUACAUAAAUAAUUAAAUUUUUUACUCAUAAAGUCUAUUUAGGGAUAAAUACGGAACAAAUAUAAAUUAUUUAGCUUCUCGAAAGCGUAUUCGAAACGACUGCAUAUUUUUAAUUUGACUAUCGACAUUAAUUUUCUCAUCUAAUUUUUAUUAAAGUAAAAUCGAUAUUUGAUUAUAUUACUUAUUUAACGAACUGUCGACGAAAGAUAGUAGCUUAUGAUCGUCGGACACCCCGUAUAUGCGCGUAUAUAUACAUGCACGCUACGCUUACACGCGCGUUGCUGGACGCGCACGCCCGCGCGCAGGACCGCUCUCGCUCGAGGUAUGCUAUUAUCAUAAUUGCCGCCAAUAACGGCCCCGUGAUUGGCGCACUUCACGCUUUCCUGGUGCUCCUUUUCGGAAGUUUUGCAUCCUUUGGCCAGGUUACUCUGUUCGCUUCGGCUCUCGUUCUAACUUGUUCUUCUUCUCGCUCUCUCUCUCUUUCUCUCUCUUUCUCUUUCUAUAUCUCUCUCAUAAUGUGGCAAUUCUUUCCUAUGCGUUUACAUGCGUCUCCAACUGCGCUCUGUGGACUUUGAAAUUCCCAGGAGAUACCGAAAAAAAGUGAGACUGAGAGGGAAAAGCAGAAAGUCUCGAAAAUGAAUGGUGAGCAAUUCACCGAGGACGAGGUCGGUGCGACAUUUCUCGGCCAUCGACCGCUGCCUGUCACAUCUUCCUGUCUCUUUUCCUUUUCCAUCUGAUCGAUCGACGAAUGUUAUUUUGCAUGGAAGUGAGAAAUCUGAACAAACCCCGAGGAGGUCUGCGAAGGUGACGUUAUUCGCUGCGUGAACGACGCUCUGAUCACGCAUGCUGUAGAGAACGGUGGUCGGAUUUAGUUGCAAAAUUCGACCUGAUUCUUAUAUCGAUGUCUGCUAUCCUUGCUGUUCGUAUCUUGACAAAAUUGUCGCACUGAGGUUUGCGAUGCUUUGUCUUAAAAAUUGGUCAUACCAUAAAUACAAUGGGAUUGGAGAUUUAAGGAAAAAAAUUCAAUGGUUUGGCGUAGAAGGUCUCAUCGUGCAUGAUAUCACCACUUCUGAAAGCAUCGCAUGUCUUAGUUACGUGCGCGGUGGCGGCUCGUUGUCAAAACGCGAGCGACAAGAAAGGGACAGUUGAUGUUGAAAAUCGAGUUGAAAGUUGCAUCGUCAUCAAAUCCGAUCACUCUCUAGAACGACGUUUCUUUAUAUUGCGUUUUUUUUUUGUGGGUGAGAAAUUUUGUAGAAUCGCAAAAGAAUGGAUUACAACCAUCGAUAGAUUAGCGCGAUUGAUAAACGAGCGAAUUCACAGCGGGAUAUUCAGUGGACUUUGUCAAACUCACGUGCGAUAAGCCACGCACUAAUCACGGCGAUGUGUCAUCGAGUUGCGCGUUAAAGGUUUUAAUCCUCGAGCAACGGAGAAAGAAAGAGAGAGAGAGAGAGAGAGAGCGAUUUGUUACACCUGCCAAUAUGAGUAAUGUCUAGCAAAGUCAGGAUUCUCUAACGUAUAGAAGUGCAUUUGUGCAUGAUGAAUCCCAUCAAAAGCGAGCUGCGUCGAACGAUAUAGAUCCUGCUCGAAUUAAACGCAGUGAAAAAAAAAUCUAGUUUUUGCUAGGCGGUACGAGUGUAAUUAAAAGCGUGUGUAAAAAAAAAUCUGGUUGAGAGGAUUUCGUGGUUCCCUUUAUGCAGUUGCUCUUUUGAAUUGUUCACCGAGGCGUAUGAAGUAUUUUACACGUUAUUAAUGAAAUUUUUAUUAGAAUUUGGUUUAUGAUGUUGUGUGGAGAUACUCCGAUGGAAAAGAUUUAAUAAUACUUUUGACAAUAAAAUAAAAUUCGAUAGAACGUAAUUUAUUUGAUUAAGACAGGAGUCCAUAAGUUAUAUGACGUUAUUUCUCAUUCUUUUAUUCUGUUAAAUCCGGUUGGUUUUUUAACUCUUUUAAUAUACUAUGUAAAUAAUACAAAUUGUAGAAACUCUUACAUCUUUUACAUAUUCAAUUUUGCAUUGCGCCGUCAUAAUUUGCACUCGCACCAACCGCACGUAUCAUUAAGCAGAGAAAAGAUUAAUUUCACUCUAGUUUGAGAGAAGUUGCGAUAUUGCGUGCUGCGCGAUAACACGCCCAGCACCACACUUUAUGUCGCGUACGCCACCACCGCGCCCCGUGGCAAAGUGGCUUUCGACGUGAAUGCAGCUGCACCGAGCGAGCGACACACAACCUUCGGCGUUUUCCGCGCGUACCGACACGCCGACACGCUCUUUCAGGUCGCCGAAAGGCAAUAUCGACUGGCGAGAUACGUCCAUACCAGACGUCGUCGCCAGUUGAAUCUUGCGCCGAACUCGCUGGCUCCAUUACCAAACUGUCAACGCGCGCUCGGCGCUGUUAAGCGUGGACCACGCGAAUUUCACCGCACACAAAUUUCCCUGCUCCACAUCAGCCCGGGAGAUCGCUAAUCCGUACGGACUAAAGUGCACAGACGUCUAUACUGUAAACUAGACCGCUAACGUUCCUUGUUUGGUGUAGCCGAAGUCCGCAUUUACACGCCUCCCGAGGAAGUCGUUCCAGUUCUAGGAGUUGCGCGAAGUGUGAUAUUGUGUUCUCUUCAUGGUUCACGUAACGCAAAAUCGCGCUUUGCCCAGUCUUUGCGAGUGCAUGUGAGUAGAAAUAAAUAGCGGUAUAUACACGGUAAAUGUACAGCGAUGAUGCAUUAAUUAAACAAAAGCAAUUAAACAAGAACGAGGAAGAUAAAUUGUGACAUUUCAAUGCUUUAUUUAGUUUCUUCCUCUCUCUUUCUCUCUUUCUUAAGUGUAAUUCUUUUAUUGCUUAUGUCAAUGGCGGUCAAGUUUUUUUUUUUAAACUGAGGAUCAUUUCCAGAAAUAGGCAAAAUCUUGCGAGUCGCAUAAUGUUUAUUUUGCUUGCAUAAAAUAGAAGAUAUGAUUUUAUAUUUUUCGACUAGUCGCGAGUCGGCGGGCGGAUCGAACGCGGGCCCGCAGGUUGAACAUCACUGGCUCGUACUAUCGAUUUAUUGGACUUAUAAAAAGGCAACUAAAAAUAUGACAAUUCUUAUUGGAGUUACAUUUCCAUAACAUGACUCAUGAAAGUGUAAAGAGGUAAUAAAAGGGUCGUUGCGUAUCCGCGGUAGUUGGGGUGAUUGCAGGGCGUAGGUUAAGUCCGGAAUGGAAAGAAGCGGGCAUUUCAACGGAUUCCGGAGGGAAGGAAAGCGUGUACGCGUGCUGCGUGAUUACGUGCAGUUACAAGCCCCUUAAAUCGCGUAAAAGAUAAGACCGGCUUUACAUUAAGCGUGCGUCUGACAGAAGUGCGCACAACCCCCAUAAAUAGCCGGCCACCACCUUUCUCCUUUUUUUUUCAUCCUUUCAUUCGCCGCUUGACGUGAAAGUCAUCAGAAGAUUGUCGAUUUGACAUAGGUCUAACAAUAUAAGUGUGCUGUCUCUCCAAGUAUCGACACUAUCGAUUGACGCAUCGUGCCACUCCUCUAAAUAAAAUGAUAGAAUGGUUAUUAAUAUAAAUGUCUCUCUCCUAAAUGGAUAUUAAUUCAAAAAAUACAAUUAAACAAAAAAUUUACUAUUUAGAGGCUUAAAACAUGAUGCUUACAACAUAUUUGUUAUUAAUUGUAAUAUUCGAGCGAUGAUCACUUUCUGAAAUAAGAACGCAUUAAUUUGAUUAUAGAUUAAAUUUCUUAUUAUUAAUUAAAAGCACCGUGCCUGCUUCUAAUUAACAUCAUGAUACUCGCAGGAUUAUGAUUAAUGACGGAAAUAGUUAAUACUCGGAGACGGUUUUCUCGGUCCAAGGACGACGAGUGUCUGUCUUAAUGAGAUACCGCAAAAAUGAUGACGUGAAAGAAAAGGAAAUAUUUAUAUCGCGGAUGUACACUCUGACAAGAUAAUCGCACACGGACGAUAAAACGGAAUUUAUUUCGAUUUUAAAUUGCCUCGCAUAUAGAUGCUUAAUGAAGGGAAGAAAUAACCUCGGUGCAUUUGUUUAUGACGAUAAAUUUUCGUUUAUCGUCGAUCUGUUGCAUAUAAUAGGCUCGUUUCAUCGAUUACAGCAAUGAUGCGAAAGAAGAGCUUAAGAAAGCGGGUAUAUACAUGUAAAGUAUUUUUUUUAUCUGAUGGAUUUUUAAAUGGAUAAACACUUGAAUGGUGUUAUGCAUUAUUUUACCACCAGGCACUAAACUGAUUUCGGAAUUUUCAGAUCGACGGCAUUCGAUUGCGGAAUAAACGAUAACAAAUGUUUCCAUAUUGGUAUAUAGACGGGUUUAUUUGCCGCACGACGAAAAUGUAAUAAUCUAUAACAAAUUAAUUAUAUUCUUAAACAAG
Long non-coding RNA from Wasmannia auropunctata (little fire ant), 4353 nucleotides. RefSeq lists it as uncharacterized. NCBI's taxonomy places the organism in Eukaryota, Metazoa, Arthropoda, Insecta, Hymenoptera, Formicidae. The transcript is spliced from 2 exons. The record is from RefSeq and is a predicted model, not a curated record.